CGAAGAGAGCAAGAGGAAGAUGAUGAGGCGGCAUGGAAAAGUUCAGAUUCCUUUACUGCCUGUUGUGAGAACAUCGAGUUCUCAAAAAUGGCUUGCUGAGUUUCUGCAUCAAGGCUCCCUAGAUAUUGCUCUGUUUUAGAUCAGAUCCAGAGAAGGGCGAAGAUAAUCGAAACAUCGUUCUGUCACUUCAAUACUAUUAUCCCCCCUUCUCAUCUCUAAUACAAGCUAGCUCUCUAUUUUUUUAUUGCCGCAUUCAGUUGUUCUACUCUUAAUCCUGGUUAAGGUAAGUUGAUUGAUUCAGUUAGAUCAUGGAGGUUGGUUAUGAAUGACACAGAAGCAAGAUUUACUUGCAUUGAGACAGUCACUAUCUUACUUCCAGCAGCAGGUUUAGCCUACCUUACUAUGCAUUUAUGAAGGCUUGGUUCCCUCCCUGAUCAUGAUGCAUGUAGAUGCGCAAACAAAGUUAGGUCUUGGGAUCUAUUUCAGGAACAACUGUUGCUAGCCUUGUUUGUUGCCACCAACAAUUAUGCUUAGUGCCUUUCAGGUUUCUAUUUUUCUUCUUUGCUAGGCAUAUCAUCUAAUCUAAUUUUCUUACAGUCAAGUGCAUCCCAUCAAUCAAAUCAAUAAAAGAAUAGAUGGUAUUAGGGUCCAUCAGAGAUUUCUCCCACUAAGAAAGAUCAACAAGUUAUCAGUUACUAGGAACCUGGAUGCCCUGCACACAACUGUACUGUACUAGAAUAAAUAAAUGCGGGUUUCAAGCACACAACUAAACUGUACUGUAGCUUUGAACAAAGCGAUGGAUGCGUAUUUUUGUGUAGCUCUGGACAAAGCCCAGACAUUUUUGUUGCAUUCCAUGCUUUAUAUUGAUCAAAGUGAUUAUGACAUGGCUCAUUUCUGUCGUCAUGUGUGGUUGCUAGGUUUGGUUCCCUGAUGUGCAUUGGUGGUGCGUGAUAGAGUGUGCACAGGGGAUUCUUCUUCCACUUUGAUGCCUCCGCCCCGCCCCUCCAGUGGCAUCAAAUCUUCUUUCACUCCUGCAUCUCUGCUGUGUGCAUGUAUUGCAGGAAGUGAGCACUAUCCAAUCCAUUAUUGCCGGUCCUUUUGGUAUGAACUGUCAAAAAAAUUAGGCAGGUGAAGAUCAGAGCUCAGGCAGCAGUUUCGAUAAUAAUUAUGAGGGCAAGAUAAUAUUCAGAGUAGGAAGUGUGUUUGUUGCUAAACUUGCGCAAUCAUCCCAUGACGCCAAAUACCAACACCAUGCUCUUCCAAAGAUUUGUCGCUGCCACAAAGCCAAACUCCUGAGCAUGUCGGAGGUGAGCAAGAAUAGAGAAGGAAGUGUCGAGGAGGGAGAGGGCGCUCUUCCUUUUUGGUCCACACUGCUACAAAAGUUGAAUUGGGGCAUCGAAACUUGCUUUAUGUAGUAGUAUCAUCAUGAUACCUUGCAUUUUUCCUAUUCUGUUUGAUUACUUGCCCUGUUUAUGUGACAAAGACAUGUGAUAGAUAUGAUUAGGCACAUAUUGAGCUAGCAAUUUCAUAAAUAUUGAGCAUACAGUUUCAAUUUCAACUUAGGCACACAAUCUGCUCUUUUUCUGAAGUAAGAUAUAGAGGAGGGUGAUCAUAUAUUGUCUGUUUGAUAUUUGCAUGUAGUUAUUAUUUCAUAAAGACCUAUGUUUGACCUUCUGUUAUAUUUGGACAUCUUGGUUCUAAAUUUCAUUCCAGAGAUAUGCUAAGAACAUAACUAGGGCAGUGCACAUAUAAGAUUUAUUUGUUUUUCUUUCAUGCUGGACAGUGGUAGUACCUUGCCGAUUAAACUACAUUAUUUCCUAUUAGAGAGGUGUUUAUAUUCUCUAGCUGGUUAAUGUUUUCUUUCUUGGCUGUAAUGUAUUUGGCAUUUGAGGUGAUCACAUAUAGGAGUUGUGGCAGAAAAAUGUCGUUUUAUUUCCUCUCAUGUGACUGCCCAGUUUUGGCUUCAUGCCCAGACUUGCAAGUUGUACCCGUGUCGAGAUUUGCUAUGGUUUCUUAUGUCUUUGUUUCAUGUUUAUUUCAGGUUUUGCUUUGUGGCCUCAAGUCUAGCGUAUCCUUGGUUUUAUAUUUAAUAAAUGCCUGCAGUCUGCACUCAUUUCUGUAACAUAGAAGUUUAUCCUGCUCCUCUUCAUCUUAUGCUUUGUAGUGAACUUGACACAGGUCAGUUAUCUUGCGCGCAACACCAAUCCCUUGCUUUUGGUAUGAGUUACCUUUGGCUAUGUUGUACACUAUAUCAUUAUAACUUUGCGGAUUGCACUGAGCAACACGCCUUAGGGCUUAGGGCUUACAACCAGUUUUGGUUUGGUUAUGAGAUUAAUUAUAUUAAAGAAACAUAGGUUGCAACCAAGGACCUAUUUCAUGGUAGGCUUACAACCAGUUUUGAUUUGGUUCUGAGAUUAAUUAUAUUAAAGAAACAUGGGUUGCAACCAAGGAUCUAUUUCAUGGUUUACAAAAAUGAUUAAAUACGCAAUUUUCAUCUAUCAAGGGAAGCUAUCUGCUUUUGUUUGGCUAUUCUGUACAUUUUAUUGUUUUUGACUUGGCAUAGACAUCAUUUUGGAUUUGGUACACUUCCUUGGUCUGCUGCAAACAUAGGUUGGUUAUCCCUAUUUUGUUGCUGAUGUUCAUAGUCAUUCCAUUCUUAUGAGUUGAGUUUCCUUCUACUUUCCUGUGACUUUUUCUCUCCAUCCAUUUAGGUACCUCUAGGACAGACAGUUUACCUUCAAGGUCAAGACCUUUCGUCACAUCAAUGCUCCCAAGCCCAUGUGUGUUCAUUCCGGCACCGCUGCAAUGAGGAACAGGACCGGGCAUGGAGGCUCACGCACUCCUAGGACAACCGGGGAAUGACGUUGACGGCAUAGCCGCCAUGGUGACCGUCAUGGAAGAAUGCACGCACGGUCAAAGGGAGAUUGGAAAGAAGGGACACACUAUCAGGGUCUAUGCACGAAGAGGAGAGCACAGCGGACGCCCAUGCACAAGUAAAGAACAAGCUCGCAAUUCGGGAGGCUCGACGGCAGCGGUGGGAAGGCGGUAGCGGCUGCCGCUGUUGAACGGACAAGCAGACAAGGAAGUGUAUUUAGUUUAUCAAAGUAUAUUAGUAGGUACUUAAAGAAAAAAUAGCAUUUCUUCCUAAAUGGUACAACUUGGUGAUAAGGAAAAUUUUAAUUAAUACAUGUGUGACACUAUUAGUUAGAAUAUCUCAAAAAUCAACUCAAUAGUUUAGUCUUUAAUUUCUGUCCUAUUCCAGUUCCAAAGGCAUACAUGUUAGUGCCCUUUUUCUAAUUUUGCAAACUGCUGCAUGGAAUGUUGAUAAACAAUCUUUUAAUUUCUGUUUGUAGGUA
This is a long non-coding RNA of Aegilops tauschii subsp. strangulata, 3356 nucleotides long. RefSeq lists it as uncharacterized. The record is from RefSeq and is a predicted model, not a curated record. Lineage: Eukaryota; Viridiplantae; Streptophyta; Magnoliopsida; Poales; Poaceae.